This 1157-nucleotide long non-coding RNA is filed under the name Equus caballus (horse). RNAcentral's name for it is "lncRNA (ENSECAG00000055152.1)". The record is from RNAcentral. Lineage: Eukaryota; Metazoa; Chordata; Mammalia; Perissodactyla; Equidae.
AGCGAGCGAGCUGAGGAGGAAAGUAAACAAUUUAAGUUCACCCUAAAUUAAGCUCUUCCUUUAAAUUUCAAGAGUAUAUUUAAGCAAAGCAGAUUAAUUUUUCUGAAGAAAAGAAAGAAGAGGACAAAGAAAAAGUAAACUUGGAGGAAACUGCAGAGAGGGCAGCAGAGCCCCAGGCGUGAGACACGGAGUGAAGGAUGAGCUGGCAGCCAGGCUGUUCCUCCUGCAGGACCAGCGCAGAUCAGGAGCCGGACGCAGACCCCAGCCCUGCUGCUGGAGCUCCUCAGGACCUGUUGUCAAAGUUAAAUUAGAGACAGUACUUUUUUUUUUUUAACAUUAAUGCAUAUUAUCUAAUUAUAUGUAUCAUUAUUCUUAAGCACAUAUUGAUCUAAUUCAAAGUUUCAGUUAAGAAUUCUGAGCAUUGAUUAUACUUUUAUAAACCAUCUGAUAAUAGGUAAGGUAGGGAAAAAGUCUAUCUGAUGAGGUUAAUUUUUCAUUUCUGAACAAAGUCAGAGCAAAAUUUGAGGAGAGGGAGGGGCAUUCCAAACUGCAAUAAUAAAAAUAAUAAAGAGCAAUGGUAGUUACAUAAAUAUAUGCAAAUGUUUUCAUAUGAAAUUUUUGAUAUUUUAAAAGUUAAGAACCAUUUAUCUUCAUCAUAAUUAUGUUAAAUCUUCCAGGUCACUUGAUAAAUGAUCAAAUGUAGUAUGUUAUUAAGUCGUUCUUUUGGGGCCAUUCAUGAGUGCCUUGAAGACCACAAUCAUUUCCGGGCUCCCAGUGGGGAGCCGUGUCUCCAUGAGGCAGGUAGAGAACCAACCUGAAGACCAUCCCACCACACACAAGGCCAACCCCCUGCCAUAAAACCUAACAGAGACGAAAGAUUAAGAAAUGAUGUCACAGCCACAAGACACCACACCUAUGAAACACAACGUUUCAAAGAAUUAUUCCCACUUGUCUGUAACUGUGCACGUGUUAAACCACAAAAGAAAACAGAAACUAGAGCCACUUCUACUCACACUUGAAGUUCACAAAUAGUGUCAAGUUAAUUUUUUUGUGCUUCAGAUUGCUUUUGCUAAAGAGUGCUCUUUUUUCUUUUACUUUCUCUUUUCUUUUUACUUAUUACGAAUUACAGCGUAUAUUCCUAGGAAUGUAAUGUCUAG